CUAAAAUGGCUGGGGUGUUGCAAGGCUGAGGCUCAGCCACGUAAUGGAAACUCAGGCCGUCAGAAACGCCAUUGUAACCCCCCUUCAAAAAGCACUAACGAGUACCUACCGGGCUCCAGAAAGCCUUAAAAGGUACUCAAGAAUUAUCAAGCAAGUCCCAAGUAAUGGCUCUGAGUUUUUGUGAACUGUUGGAGGGUCUACUUCUAUGUGAUUUUCACCUAAAUUUUGAGCUCAAAUCUACUUGCUAAUAAGUCUUAAAUAUUUCUGGAUACAUAGUUUACAGACAAGUUGCAUAAGCUUUUAGAAAAAUCUAGAAAGGCUUCUAAACGAAAUUCUAUUUUUAACACUUCCGAGGGACUAUUUUUGCUUCCCUCACAAAGACGGCGGAGGGUUAUUAAAUUCAGCGGGGUGAGUUGUCCUUGGUCUAUAAAUACGCGGCUCCGGACGCAGCGGCAGGCAUUCAGGCAGCGAGCGCAGAGGUGGCUGGAGAGGGAGGAGGAGCUGCUUAAGGAAACCGCAGAUAAGUUGCUUUGUUAGAAAUGAUAGAAGUUAGUACAAUUCUUUAGGAGAUGUAAAUAGCGAGAAUAUUUAAGUUAAUGCUUAGCAUUAAGUUUUUAAAGUAGUUUCGAUAAUAAGAUCUUGCCGAAGGGAAAAUAAUGAAGACUGACUUGAAAAGUAGUUUGAGAAAGGAGGAGAGAAGAAAAAAGAUAUUUCUAGAAUAUGAGGGAGGUUAAGAGAUGAAGCUUAGUAAUGGAGUGAGAUAAUUUUAAAUAGCUGAAAGGACUGCGAAGUCCGAAAUCAAAACGGCAUUAAAUUGAAGAGCAGCGUUUUAGAUUAACUUUAAAACGCAGAUGACGUAAAUAGAACCUAAACGUUUUAGAAAAUGAGGUUUUAGAUGACGAAAAUAUUUUAAACGCCGUCUCUUAAAAAGAUUAAAGGUGAUUUAAGAGCGAGACCUUCAUAUUCGUGGCGCAGGAAAGGUGAUUUGAAGCCUAGUUGGUCUUAUGGCAUUAUUUGCUAAAAAUUGAUGGAAAUAGUAAUUGGGAGUGGCAGGAUAAAAAUUUGGAGAAAGAAGAUUAGAAAUUAGAAGUGGAAAACACAGAAGACAGAAGUACAGGAAGGUGAAGAAAAGACUUAGAAGAUAGGAAAAAUAGAAGAUAAGACGCCUCUAGAAGACAGAAAAACUAAUUUCAAAGCCAAAAGGUAGGAAGCAGAAGAAAAAGUACUUAGACAAAUUAGGAAACCAAAGCAACUAAAGGCCCAGAUAGAAAUUAAGUAGGAAACCAGAAGAGAGAAAAAACAAGGUUGAAAAUACAGUCAAGGAGAAGUGUUUCAGAUAGAAAAUGAAAAGCUAGGACAAACUAUUGGAUACGAGCAUACAAGAUAGACAUGAAAAAAUUAGAAAAAUUUAAAGCUAAAAAAUUGGAUAAAGUACAAGAGCAGAAAAACAGAGGAAAUUAGCUUUUUAUAGUGAUAGGAAUUUUUUAAAAGCCUAUCAAUUUAAUCUCCGGUGAUGCGGAAGUUAGAAUUGAGAAGAUGAGGGUUAAACUACUGUAGACCAGGACCAAUUUAGAAGAAUUUCCGGAAGCUAGAAGAGAAAUCAGUUAAAAAUCUCAGCCAAAAGCUACUAAGAGGACUGAAGUAAUUUAAUAAAAAUUAAGAAUGGUUGUGGAAGAGUUAAAAAUUUGAAAUGCCUUAAAUAUAGUAGCUUAGUUUUCUUUGGAAAAUUUAAAGGACUUUGAUAACAAUUCAAGAUCAAGAAUACUCAGCAGUUUAACCAUUUGGCGCUGGACUUUGAGCUCAGAUGAUUUAAAUGCCGAGGACUAGCGUUAAUUGACAGCUGACGCAGGUGCUACGCAGAAGUGGAUUCAGUGAUCUAGGAAGACAGGAGCGGCAGACAGGAUCCCGGGAGCCAGUGUGCUGAAGCUAGGACGGAGGCCGAGCGGCCGUUCGCGGUGAAGAUAGGAAGGAGCCCGGGAGCCAGUGCUUGUGGUGAAGGCAGCUAGGAAGAAGGAAGGAGCGCUAACGCGUGGAGGCGCAGCUAGGCCAGAGUCCGGGAAGCAGGAGCCUGUGCUGUGUGAUGAAGCUAGCGGGCGGCUUGGCUUGGCGACCCCGCGGCGGCGGCGAGCAGGCGGAGUGGAGGCUAGCUAGAGCAUCCUAGAGCAGCGCCCGGUGUGCGAGGCCGCGGGGAGAGCGAGUGGCGUGGUAAAGAUCCGCGAGGUCGGCAGUACCGUGCUGGGUUGUUUUUGGUAACUUGAGCGUGGUAACCUUUCCUUAUUUUCCUAACGGUAACGGGGGAGUUGCGUACUUAAGCGUCAAGGGAUUUACUACGGGGAUGUAGGCCGAUUUCCGGGUGUCGUAGGUUUUUCUUUUUCAGGCUUGUUUUCUCAUCUUGUCUGAAGCUUUUGAGGGCAGACUUCCAAGCCCGGAGGAAUGGUAGAUGGCAAGUUUUUUUUUUUAAAAAACCGAUCUGAGGGAAACCAAAUGAAUUUGAUAGAACAACUUUGAGACAAAUGUUGGCAAGUUUUAUACGCAGUUUCUAUUUUUAGCUUGGAGUAAUGAAGCAUUUCAGUUCUGUGAAUAGAUGACCUAUUUUUCUGUCCUCACCCUGUAUUAAAGUUUUCUAAAGGUGGAGUUGGGGUGUGUAACUUUGGGGGGAGUUUUUGUGGGGUUGGGGGGCAAAAUAUGUUUUGAGUUCUUUUCCCCUUAGGUCGGUCUGUCUAGAAUCCAAAAGGCAGAUGACUCAAGUUAACAGAAAAAAGGAAAAUCCAGUAUCAGGAUAAUCAGAACACCACAGGUUUACAGUUUCUAGAAACUAGAACACGAGCAGCUCUCACUUUGAGGUGUGUGGCGGAAUUAUCCAUUGGAGAAAUGGCUGGUAGUUAUUCUUUUUUCCACCCCUUAAUCAGAUCUUCAAAGUAUGUAACCCCUUAAACAUUAUUUUUACUUGGAGUAUUUUGGAGUGGUCUUACCAGGGAAGAGGGUGGGGGAGGAAAUGUGUUUUUUCUAAGAUUUCCACAGAUGCUAUAGUGCUAUUGACAAACUGGGUUAGAGAAGGAUUGUACUGCUAUGCUGUUGGCACGAACGCCUUCAGGGAUUGGAGCUGCUUUUUCCCUUGGAAGAGUAUUCCCAGUUGAAGCUGAAAUUACAGCACAGUGCAGCUUUGGUUCAUAUUCAGUCAUCUCAGGAGAACUUCAGAAGAGCUUGACUAGGUCAGAUGUUGAAGUUAAGUUUUCAAAUAAUGUGACUUUUAAAAUACCUUUCUUAAAAGGGGGUGGGCAAAUUUUUGGCAAUUAGUAGUUGGCAGUGGCCUGUUAUGGUUGGGAUUGGGAGGGUUGGGUUUAGGUAAUUGUUUAGUUUAUGAUUUCAGAUAACUCAUGCAGAGAACUUAAAUACUUAGGAUGGAAAAACUAAGGAAAUCUCAACUUCCAAGUUGGCAAGUAACUUCCCGUCCUCUAGGUUUUGUUUUCCCCCAAUUUUUGAAUUGGGCAACUGAGGAAGUUCAUAAAGUUCCUCUGGAUUCAAUGUGUAGGGCCUGGGGAAGGAAAAUGUUAGACUGGGGGUUGGUCUAGCCCUCGGGGCUGACUUAGAUAAAAUCUUGGGAGUAUUUUAAAAUGCCAAAGUUGUUCAGCUAUGGGAGUGUGUGGUUCUCUUUUGGAAUUUUUUUCAGGUGAUUUAAUAUUACUUAAUACUGCUAUAGGAGCUUCAGAGCAAAGGAAGUGGCUUAAUGAUCCUGAAGGGAUUUCUUCUGAUGGUAGCUUUUAUAUUAUCAAGUAAGAUUCUAUUUUCAGUUGUGUAUAAACAAGGUUUUUUUAGUGUAGGAAAGAUUUUUCCUUCCUAUGAAUGCAAAAGGAGAUGUUAAGGUAUGCUUCAAAAUUAUUGUGAAUUGUGUAUUUUACAUUUGUAUCUUACCUAUUUGUAAAUCAUAACUGAUAAAAGAGGGCGGGCUUUUGUUGAUGAGGGAGGGGAAACCUUUUUUUUUUCUGUAGACUUUUUUCAGAUAACGUCUUCUGAGUCAUAACCAGCCUGGCAAUAUGAUGGCCUAGAUGGAGAGGGAACAGCUCCUUGGUGAAUGAUAAGUAAAGGCAGAAAAGAUUAUAUUUCAUAUCUCCAUUGGGGGAAAAGCGUAACCCUGAGAUCCUUACUACUGAUGAACACAUUGUCUGCAUAUGUCAAAAAAAAAUUGAGCCAAUGAAAACUACCAAUUUAAAGUUAAUGGAAUCUACCAAUUUAAAGUUAAUGGAAUCUACCAUUUUAAAGUUAAUGGAAUCUACCAAUUUAAAGUUAAUGGAAUCCACCAUUUUAAAGUUAAUGGAAUCUACUAUUUUAAAGUUAAUGCUUUAUCAAGCUUAUACCUACAAAAGUAACGAAUUGAUGAGAAAUACAAUGAAGAUCAAAUGUCCAUCUCCAAUUACUGCUUUUACAAAAGCAGAAUAAAAAAGCGAAAUGAAAUGAAAAUGAUACUACAUUAAUCCUGGAAUAAAAGAAGCUCAAGUAAUUCAGAGAUGAGUGGGAUCAAGUGGAUUGAGAGGAAGCUGUGCUGUUGCCAAUCUUUCGUUUACCUCAGACAGGUUUCUCUUCAUUAUCAGAAGAGUUGCUUCAUUCCAUCUGGGAGCAGAAAACAGCAGGCAACUGUUAACAGAUAAGUUUAACUUGCAUCUGCAGUAUUGCAUGUUAGGGAUAAGUGCUUAUUUUUAUUAAGAAGUUCUUAAAUAUUGAACUUGGCCAUUUUUCCUGAUCCCUUCCCUAGGGGAUUCCAGGAUUAUGAGGAAUUUUCCCGUCUAGCCUUUUUAAAAUUAGACACAACUCGUGCCUGUGGGCUUCCAUGAUGGGCUAGCACACCUCACUCAGAGGCAAGUAAUUCCUUAAAAGCCUCUUGAGAUUAGUGCCUUAUUCAUAAGGUAACAUAAACUAAGAGAAUUUGUUUAGCAUUGAAUCUCUGAAAACCCUAUGAAAAGAUAGCGUAAAGUGCUGUUAAAACAAUCAGAUAUUUUAAUGUUGCUAAAAUUUAAAUGUGAUGUAUAUUGUAUAGAAAACCAUUAAAUCGUUCAAAAUAAAACAUUUUAAUAGAGAAUGUAUGCUUUUAGAAAGCUGUCUCCUUAUUUAAAUAAAAUAUUGUUUGUUUGUAGUUAGUGCUGGGCAAUCUUGGGGGGAUUCUUCUCAUCUUUCAGAAACUUUGUCUUCGAACACUCUUUAAUGGACAAGAAAGAUCAGGAAUUGAGCGGAAGAACGAACUUAACUUUCUUAAGGCAGGAAAGACAAAUUUUAUCCUUCGUAAAGUGAUGAGCAUUUUAAUAAUUCCAGGCAUAUGGCAAUAGAGGCCCUCUAAAUAAGGAAUAAAUACUACUUAGACAGGUGGGAGAUUAUGAUCAGAAUAACAGGUAACUACACCUACCCUGUUCUGGACAGGAGUCUAAAUUGAGCCUUGUUACACGAGAGUAAUGAUUCUGUCACGUUUCCAAAGUUUGCAUGUUAACUUUAAAUGCUUAUAAACCAUCUCAUCUAGUGUUAGCCAGUGUUUGUACUAUUAGGCACUUGGGGGUCUUGUGGGUUUUUAAAGAAUUUUCCUUUGCAGAAGCUUCAUUUCAUCCUUCAUGAAGCUGUUCAGAAUAUUGACUUGCAUAUAAGCGCUUGGCUCUGCCUUCUAUUCUCCUAGUGAGUGUGUGAGAGACCUUGCAGUGAGUUUAUCAGCAUACUUGAGUACAUUUUUUCCCCCUGAUUUUGGAGGGAAGGGAGGAGGGGGGUGGGGCUUACUUGUUUUAGUUUUUUUUUGCAGACUACACAGAGAACGCAGUUGUCUUGACCUCAGGUCUGUCUGUUCUGUUGGCAAGUAAUAACGCAGUACUGUUCUGAUCUGCUGCUAUUAGAAUGCAUUGUGAAACGACUGGAGUAUGAUUAAAAGUUGUGUUUUCCCCCACUGCUUGGAGUAGUGAUUGUUGAAGGAAAAUCCAGCUGAGUGAUAAAGGCUGAGUGUUGAGGAAAUUUCUGCAGCUUUAAGCAUUCAUGUUUGUGAUUGAAGCCAAGUACCUUUUGCUGUGCUUAGGUAAAAUGCUUUUUUGUUCACUUCUGGUAGGGGGGUGGGGAGGGCACUGAAGCCUUUAGUCUUUUCCAGAUGCAACCUUAAAAUCAGAGUCAAGAAAUAAAUUCCAAACAAGCCACAGUCUUCAGGAAAUUUAACUGGCAAGUGGAAAUGUUGAAGAGUUCAGUGGUCUUAGUGUAUUGUCUUUGUGGGUUUCUCUCUCCCCUCCCUUCGUGUUAAUUCUUACACACAGGAACAUUCAAAACAGCAGACGUACACGAAGGGCCAGAGAAGCCAGACCCAGUAAGGAAAAAUAGCUUAUUUACUUUAAACAAAGAUUCCAUUUUAAAUGUGGGGAUUGGGAACCACUAGUUCUUUCAGAUGGUAUUCUUCAGACUAUAAAAGGAGCUUCCAGUUGAAUUCACCAGUGGACAAAAUGAGGACAACAGGUGAACAAGCUUUUUCUAUGUUUACAUAUUAAGCCAGAUCCGUUGGGUAAAUCCUUUAGUGUUACAGACUUGCAGCUUUAUGCUGGAGUAGAUAGCAUGUGAGCAGGUUGGUUGUUGGCCUGGGGGUGGAGGGGUGAGGUGGGCGCUAAGCCUUUUUUUAAGAUUUUUCAGGUACCCCUCACUAAAGGCACCGAAGGCUUAAAGUAGGACAACCACGCAGCCUUCCUGUGGCAAGAGAGACAACAAAGCGCUAUUACACUAAGGUCACUGCAAAUGGCGUCGGCCUCAUAACGCGCCCCGUCUUCUCGUAGACCUCUGAGGACUUGCCUCAGCGCCCUUGGCAGACAUGCACUGAGGCUCUUUGGGCCUGAAGCAUCCAGAGGAAUGCUUGAGUACCUUGUAUACCCCUGGGCUUGUCCUAACCCAUAAGCUGUUUUUAUAGCAGCUGUUACUAAAGCCCAAACUUCAAGUGAUGCUUGAAGGGGAGGGAAAGGGGGAAAGCGGGCAACCACUUUUCCCUAGCUUUUCCAGAAGCCUGUUAAAAGCAAGGUCUCCCCACAAGUGACUUCUCUGCCACAUCGCCACCCCCUGCCUUUGGCCUAGCGCAGACCCUUCACCCCUCACCUCGAUGCUGCCGGUAGCUUGGAUCCUUGUGGGCAUGAUCCAUUGUCAGUUUCAAGGUAACAGUGGUGCGAGGUCUUCCGGUGGGUUGCACUACUAGAAAAGGCCAUUAACGUGCUUGCAAAUGGUUAAGGUUAUUAAAACCACAACUAAAACCUCUGAUGUUUUAAGUGUACAAAUUUAAACCAGUGAAUGGAGAGCAAUGUUUAAGAACUGUAAUGUUGGGUGGGAAGAUAGAACGUAAAAACUGAAGGAGAUAGGCAUUUUAUUUCAGUGGUUGAGAGGGCGUUGGGUGGGAUUGCAAAAACUCUCUGCUAAGACUUUUUCAGGUGAACAUAACAGACUUGGCCAAGCUAGCAGCUUAGCUGAAGCAGAUUCUCCAGCAGUGCCCUUCCAUAGGGUUGUAAAAGGUUUUGCUUUUUGGCCUUUUCCUAGCUUAAAAAAAAAAAGCAAAAGAUGCUGGUGGUUGGCACUCCUGGUUUCCAGGACGGGGUUCGAAUCCCUGCGGCGUCUGUGCUUGACUGUACCCUCUGCCUUCAGGACUCUCCUUUCCGUUUCCCUCCUCCUGUUCAGGAGGCGGCUCUGGAGUCGGGGGAGGGGCAAGCUGCCAGUGGAGGAGUGUCAGCUCGGCUGAAUUGUCAGAGCCUGGAGUCCGUUUGCAUUCACAUGGAAACCGGAAAACCUCAUAUAACUGCCCUGUCUUUCGUUUUCAGGUGUUUCUUGUGCAUCUGGCAUUUAGAGAAGCCUCACUCCUAAAACCUUAAGAUUUCGUAUUAAUAAAAAUUGAAAAGCUCCUCAUUGGUGUGAUUCUUGUGUGUUGUAAAACCAGAUCUGCUGUGAACGUAGGUGGGAGAAGAUGGGUGUUUGGUGGGGGCUCUGCCUUGUUCCUGGGUAACUUGUGGGCUCAUCACAAGCAAGUACACACAGCACAGCGAUGCAGCCUGAACUUCAUAGGGGAGGCACUUGGAGGGGGAAGUGGCGGAGGUAGUGGGUGAGCGACCUCAAAGACCAGUAACAUCCCCACAGAAAAAAAUGGGAACUUACAGGGGAUUGGUGGUUACCGGGGGGUGGGGGGUGGGCACAGAGGGUGAAGUGGUGCACCUGCAACAUGACUCACAAUGUCCAACUGAAAUUUCACAAGGUUGUAAACUAUCAUAAUCUUAAUAAAAAGGAAAAAGAAAUUGGAACUUCCUUUAAGCAGCCUACUUUCCCACUGUUAGCAGUUGGCAGUGAGCCGUGCUGCGUGGAGAGACGGUGGGGGAUGGGGAGGAGGGGUGUUUCUUUGGCUUCUGUGAAAAACCUGAAGUUUAGAGCCACUUUGAGCCAAUAGAAAGCGAGCUCUGGUGUUUACUCUUAAGUCUUGGGUGACUAGGUCUCACUGUCCUUUUUCAGUUGUCAGUGCCCAGACAACUACAACUCAGUCGUGGUCCCCUGUUGUCCCGUGGAAUGGCCUGGAUACUUACGUGAUGUUCCCUCAUUCUCAGAUAAAAUGUUGAAAUACCCUCACCAUCCCACCUGGCGUCUACUCAGACCCUGUUCCCUGGACGGUUGGGGGAGGCUCACCCCAGUAAACCCAGAGUGGGGCCCAGGUGUGAAGAAAGCUGCAGCCAUCACACAUCUCCGUUCCGGGGAGCCAAGUGGAGGGACCUCAGUGAACAGCUCUUUCCUGCAUUAGCGAACCCACCGCUCAGGAAGGUGUUAUUCAUGUGUUGUAAAUAGCGAAGCAGGCUCUGGUGGGGCCACUUGGCCAAGGCAGCAAACCUGAGAUCUGAACCCUAAUCCAUCAUCUUGUUGCUAUUACUUCAGAGCAUGAAUGUCCUCAGAUGAAGCCACUAUCCAGAUGGGUCAGCAGCAGGUCAACCCCCAACCCCCUUGGCCUGGGCAAGGCCCGGGCAGAGGAUCUCUCUCUUUCCGAGGAGGGAUCUAACCCAGGCAGGGGGCAGAGAGAGGCUGAACCACACACUCUGGUCUUGCUUAAAUGCUUAUUCUGAACUGAUGCCGAGACCCAGCAUCUUAUGGAGAAAGGUCUCCCAUGUUUUUCCAGAGCUGGAAGCCUCCCUCGAAGCACAGACUUCAUUGGAGAGCAAAGAAGUAAGAAACAGGGCUGGGGAUUCGCCCGGAGUUACUUGGUUCCUGGUGUGGAACAGGGUUAAAGUGGGCCAGGAUUGGAAAUGUAAAGGCCAAACAGAGAGUCAUGACAGGAGUGGGCAGGAAGGUAGACCAGAAGCCACUUCCACCUUCUGAGCACAAAGGGAGCAGAGAAGGAGGCCAACGUGAAAUUCCCCCAGAGGCUGUGUCCCAGUAAAGGGGCAGGUCUUGAUAACACAACCCCCAGGUAUGUCCUUUUAUACUCUUCCAGCUGUGCAAAGGGCUCUCACACCGGUUUUUCUGGAUUCCAUCGUUUUGAUAAUCCCAGUAGGGCUGACUACAGCAAACCUGAAUUCAAGUGGUAGCACCACCAUUUCCAAGCCUCUCCAAGCUUCCUUUCAUGCCUCAGGGCCCAGGGCUAGUUGGUGUGGACUUGGGCAGCAGACUUCUGACUUCAGUAAAGGGGCCAUACCAGGAGAGUGAAAGGAUCUGAGGGGAGGGGACAAGGUGUGGAGGAAAGCAAGAUGUAGGAGUGUCUACCUGGGUUGUUGAUGCAGAAGUCCAGAAAAUCUAGGGGUCAUGGGUCAGGCCGUGGCUCCUAGCUCAAACUUGGGGUGUCACCUGCCAUUUCCAGGCCUCCGUUUUCCCACCCGUUAAAUGGGGAUAGUGCCCUGCCUGCCUGCUGUGAC
Molecule: long non-coding RNA, 9866 nt
Organism: Equus asinus (donkey)
Lineage: Eukaryota; Metazoa; Chordata; Mammalia; Perissodactyla; Equidae
Source: Ensembl